RNAcentral lists this transfer RNA (72 nucleotides) under Bos taurus (domestic cattle). It matches the Rfam family "tRNA". Rfam says of the family: Transfer RNA (tRNA) molecules are approximately 80 nucleotides in length. Their secondary structure includes four short double-helical elements and three loops (D, anti-codon, and T loops). Further hydrogen bonds mediate the characteristic L-shaped molecular structure. tRNAs have two regions of fundamental functional importance: the anti-codon, which is responsible for specific mRNA codon recognition, and the 3' end, to which the tRNAs corresponding amino acid is attached (by aminoacyl-tRNA synthetases). tRNAs cope with the degeneracy of the genetic code in two manners: having more than one tRNA (with a specific anti-codon) for a particular amino acid; and 'wobble' base-pairing, i.e. permitting non-standard base-pairing at the 3rd anti-codon position. Lineage: Eukaryota; Metazoa; Chordata; Mammalia; Artiodactyla; Bovidae. The record is from Rfam by way of RNAcentral. RNAcentral also lists the same sequence under 1 other name.
UCCCUGGUGGCUCAGUGGUAAAAGUACCUGCCUGCAAUGCAGGAGACCCAGAUUUGAUUCCUGAGUUGGGAA